This 737-nucleotide long non-coding RNA is filed under the name Brassica napus (rape). RNAcentral's name for it is "long non-coding RNA (BNAP_LNC004356)". Lineage: Eukaryota; Viridiplantae; Streptophyta; Magnoliopsida; Brassicales; Brassicaceae. The record is from RNAcentral.
UGACUUCUGAACAGUCUACUAGGUUGCUCUCUCACUAAACAGAGCCUCUACAAUUAAGUUAACCCGACUUCUCUAAUUAAUAAUUGUUUAUGAUCGUUGCCGAAGCUCCUAUAAUUGGACGUUCAAUCUAAACCGUCAGUUAUAAGUUAAUUUAGGGUUAUCGCUACAAGAAAGAAGAUCGUUAAAUAAAAGUACCUUUGUAUGUCGAUUCUGAUAUGAAUAUAUCAACUCAUAUAUGUUGUUAUGUUCGUCUUCUCCCUUCAACUUCUGUUAGGAGGUUAGGCUUUAUAGAACAGAUGUUCAUGAUAGAAGCUCCAGAAGCUUUUUCAACCAUUGAUUGUGUUUCAUGUCUAAUCACCCAAAUCUAGAGAUUACUUUUAUCUUCUCCCAUUCCAGUAUGUAUCCUCAAAACUAGCGCUGCUCUACACGAUUUAGAUCAAAUCUACCAAUAUCUCAGUAACAAAACCAAACCCUACUCUAUCAAUAGAAAUCGAUUAUAAUAUAAAUACUAAUCAAACUCCUAACCUUUGUUAUCAAUGUUACUCACUGCCGAUCUUUAAAUUGCUUCGGUUUAGAUUUCGAUACAUAAGUGUUCAGUCUCUAUGUCGGGAUUUUUGGUGAGGAUUCGACGACAGAUAUGAGCUCUGUUUAUAAUGAAACAAAAAAGUCCUUUUUCGAUAAAAAGAACAAGAAACGGUUGUUGGUUUCCCGUAAAAAAAACAAACAGAGUUUUAAUG